RNAcentral lists this ribosomal RNA (305 nucleotides) under uncultured bacterium. RNAcentral's name for it is "bacterial SSU rRNA". It matches the Rfam family "Bacterial small subunit ribosomal RNA", at positions 338 to 659 of the family's 1533-position model. The record is from RNAcentral.
CCUACGGGGGGCAGCAGUGGGGAAUAUUGGGCAAUGGACGCAAGUCUGACCCAGCAACGCCGCGUGAAGGAAGAAGGCUUUCGGGUUGUAAACUUCUUUUAAGGGGGAAGAGCAGAAGACGGUACCCCUUGAAUAAGCCACGGCUAACUACGUGCCAGCAGCCGCGGUAAUACGGAGGAUGCGAGCGUUAUCCGGAUUUAUUGGGUUUAAAGGGUGCGCAGGCGGGAGAUCAAGUCAGCGGUAAAAUGUCGGGGCUCAACCCCGGCCGGCCGUUGAAACUGGUUUUCUAGAGUUGGAGAGAAGUA